UGGGGAAUUUUGGACAAUGGGGGCAACCCUGAUCCAGCAAUGCCGCGUGUGUGAAGAAGGCCUUCGGGUUGUAAAGCACUUUUGUCCGGGAAGAAAUCGCACCUGAUAAUACCGGGUGUGGAUGACGGUACCGGAAGAAUAAGGACCGGCUAACUACGUUCCAGCAGCCGCGGUAAUACGUAGGGUCCAAGCGUUAAUCGGAAUUACUGGGCGUAAAGCGUGCGCAGGCGGUUGUGCAAGACGGAUGUGAAAUCCCCGGGCUUAACCUGGGAAUUGCAUUGGUGACUGCACGGCUAGAGUGUGUCAGAGGGGGGUAGAAGUCCACGUGUAGCAGUGAAAUGAGUAGAGAUGUGGAGGAAUACCGAUGGCGAAGGCAGCCACCUGGUAUAACACUGACGCUCAUGCACGAAAGCGUGGGGAGCAAACAGG
RNAcentral lists this ribosomal RNA (429 nucleotides) under bacterium. Its description in RNAcentral is "partial 16S ribosomal RNA". It matches the Rfam family "Bacterial small subunit ribosomal RNA", at positions 355 to 776 of the family's 1533-position model. The record is from RNAcentral.